Long non-coding RNA from Thunnus maccoyii (southern bluefin tuna), 767 nucleotides. RefSeq lists it as uncharacterized. The record is from RefSeq and is a predicted model, not a curated record. The transcript is spliced from 3 exons. NCBI's taxonomy places the organism in Eukaryota, Metazoa, Chordata, Actinopteri, Scombriformes, Scombridae.
CCUCUGAUGAACUGUAAGUCUGCUGGGAGCUCAGCAGGGCAUUGCUGACUGGUUAAAAAAAAAAAAUGCCAGCCCUCCACCUGCAAGAGGAGAACAGUGACAAUGAUGCGUCUGUAUGCCUCAGGUAACAGCAACCACCACCUCGAGGAGUCUAAGCUGAGAGUGUGAAGUUGGGAUGGGAGAGGACUUGGAAUUAACUUUCAGGCAUGUCCAACUGGUAGGAGACCCUGGGGCAGACCCAGAACAUGCUGGAGGGGCUACAUAUCUCUUCUGGCCUGGGAACGCCUUGGGAUCCUCCUGUCUGGGUUUCCUUACUCAGUCUGAUGCCACUGCGACCUGGUCCCACAAAAGCAGUGGAAAAUGGAUGGAUGAGUGGAUGGAUGGACUUCCCGUGUAGCAUAGAAGAAGAGUGUCGGACAGGAAGUUCCUUCUCUUCGGCAGAGUGAAAGCAGAGUGGUCCUGUGUGAAGUGUGAAGAUAAUCUUAAGUCAUCCUUUUGUUUGCAGACCUUUGAGUGGCAUUAUCAGUAAAUGUAUUCUUAAUCUUCUCCAUCUUAAUGUUUUUGAUUAAUCAUUUUCUGUUAUUUGUUCUAGUUUGUUAAUAUAGUGUUACUGUGUGACUACUCACGCUGUUGGCUUGAAUUGUCCAUAGCAUACUUACCUCAGGCUACCUGUGUAUUUGUCUAAUCAUAUAUGCCUUUUGUCUUCACCUGCCUCCCUACCGGUAGUGUACUGUCAUGAUUUUACUUACCUUUAUUUUUACUGUACC